RNAcentral lists this ribosomal RNA (253 nucleotides) under uncultured bacterium. RNAcentral describes it as "partial 16S ribosomal RNA". It matches the Rfam family "Bacterial small subunit ribosomal RNA", at positions 524 to 776 of the family's 1533-position model. The record is from RNAcentral.
UACGAAGGGGGCUAGCGUUGUUCGGAAUUACUGGGCGUAAAGCGCGCGCAGGCGGCCUUCCAAGUCAGUGGUGAAAGCCUGGAGCUCAACUCCAGAACUGCCAUUGAAACUGUUAGACUUGAGUACGAGAGAGGUGAGUGGAAUUCCCAGUGUAGAGGUGAAAUUCGUAGAUAUUGGGAAGAACACCAGUGGCGAAGGCGGCUCACUGGCUCGUAACUGACGCUCAGGCGCGACAGCGUGGGGAUCAAACAGG